UCGAAGGUGAUAACCAUCUUUCGGCGCCGCACUGUACUAAACUAACUAAAGUGGGGGAUAGUGAGGGGAUAAAUUUCCUUAAGGAACUCGGCAAAAUCCCAAUGGCCCACCAGGGCAUAUAUUGGAACACGGGCCUCGACUGUUUACCAAAAACAUAGCCCUCGGCCAAUAUGAAAAUAGAAGUAUGGAGGGUGAGGCCUGCCCAAUGGUUGUAUCUAAAAGCGGUUGAUAAAAGUCGACCGUGUAAGGACAAUUGAAUGGCCGCGGUAACACUGACCGUGAUAAUGUAGCGUAAUCAAUAGCCAAUUAAUUGUUGGCCAGUAUGAAUGGCGCCACGAAGGCCCCACUGUCUUAAGGAAAUUCCCAGUGAAAUUGAAUUCGUAGUGAAGAUGCUACGUCCAAUUUGUUAGACGAAAAGACCCCGUUGAGCUUUACUGGGGCACUUACACGGCCCCGGCCUUCAAAACUGGGUUGAUAAGCCAAGGCUUACCAUACCUAGGGACCGGCCGAAUUUAAAUGGGCGGCUUAGACUAUGUGGCAGCCCCCCCCGUCGGGGCAGAUGAAACCCCACUCCCCCAUGUCAAAGGGGCUAACCCCCCCCCUUGGGGGGGACAGUGUWAGUAGGACAGUUUGGUUGGGGCGACCGCCUUUUAGAGAGUAACGAAGGUGCGCUUAAGGUGCGUAAUUAAUGACUGAAGCCUGACUGCGAGGGGGACACCCCGAGCAGACACCCCCAAGCCCGCCCUCGCCUUCGUACCAACGGAGGGAGGGCGGCGGUGGGGUGGGCCAUAGUGACCCGUUAAUUUAGAGUGGAAUAGUUAACGAUCAACGAAUAAAAGUUACCACGGGG
This 850-nucleotide ribosomal RNA is filed under the name Parazoanthus darwini. RNAcentral's name for it is "partial 16S ribosomal RNA". It matches the Rfam family "Bacterial large subunit ribosomal RNA", at positions 1610 to 2473 of the family's 2925-position model. Lineage: Eukaryota; Metazoa; Cnidaria; Anthozoa; Zoantharia; Parazoanthidae. The record is from RNAcentral.